GAACUGCGAUAAGUAAUGUGAAUUGCAGAAUUCAGUGAAUCAUCGAGUCUUUGAACGCACAUUGCGCCCCCUGGCAUUCCGGGGGGCAUGCCUGUCCGAGCGUCAUUGCUGCCCUUCAAGCCCGGCUUGUGUGUUGGGUCGUCGUCCCCUCCGGGGGACGGGCCCGAAAGGCAGCGGCGGCACCGCGUCCGGCCCUCGAGCGUAUGGGGCUUUGUCACCCGCUCGAUAAGGACCGGCCGGGCGCCAGCCGGCGUCUCCAACCUUUUUUUCUCAGGUUGACCUCGGAUCAGGUAGGGAUACCCGCUGAACUUAAGC
Molecule: unclassified non-coding RNA, 315 nt
Filed under: plant metagenome
Description: partial contains 5.8S ribosomal RNA, internal transcribed spacer 2, and large subunit ribosomal RNA
Rfam family: 5.8S ribosomal RNA (bases 1-105)
Source: RNAcentral